Molecule: long non-coding RNA, 212 nt
Filed under: Panax ginseng (ginseng)
Lineage: Eukaryota; Viridiplantae; Streptophyta; Magnoliopsida; Apiales; Araliaceae
Description: long non-coding RNA (PGIN_LNC014165)
Source: RNAcentral
GGUGAUAUUUUUAUAAUGAAUGUGGGAUAUAUGAGUAUAUGAGGAGGUAGAGUAUUUUGUGGCAUUAAAUGUUUAACACAUGUUUUGUGUGUCGGUGGACACAAUUCUUGACCGAAAAUUGAUUAUAGACUGUAAAAUCGUCCGUUUAUGGAUUUUGGUCAAUUUCUGUUUGGAAUUUGAAAAAACUUUCUUCUGCAAAGUUGUAGAGAAUG